AGUGAACGCUGGCGGUAGGCCUAACACAUGCAAGUCGAACGGCAGCACAGUAAGAGCUUGCUCUUACGGGUGGCGAGUGGCGGACGGGUGAGGAAUACAUCGGAAUCUACUUUUUCGUGGGGGAUAACGUAGGGAAACUUACGCUAAUACCGCAUACGACCUACGGGUGAAAGCAGGGGAUCUUCGGACCUUGCGCGAUUGAAUGAGCCGAUGUCGGAGUAGCUAGUUGGCGGGGUAAAGGCCCACCAAGGCGACGAUCCGUAGCUGGUCUGAGAGGAUGAUAGGCCAAACUGGAACUGAGACACGGUCCAGACUCCUACGGGAGGCAGCAGUGGGGAAUAUUGGACAAUGGGCGCAAGCCUGAUCCAGCCAGACCGCGUGGGUGAAGAAGGCCUUCGGGUUGUAAAGCCCUUUUGUUGGGAAAGAAAAGCAGCAGGUUAAUACCCCGCUGUUCUGACGGUACCCAAAGAAUAAGCACCGGCUAACUUCGUG
This 492-nucleotide ribosomal RNA is filed under the name uncultured bacterium. RNAcentral's name for it is "partial 16S ribosomal RNA". It matches the Rfam family "Bacterial small subunit ribosomal RNA", at positions 29 to 507 of the family's 1533-position model. The record is from RNAcentral.